Molecule: ribosomal RNA, 500 nt
Filed under: uncultured bacterium
Lineage: Bacteria
Description: partial 16S ribosomal RNA
Rfam family: Bacterial small subunit ribosomal RNA
Source: RNAcentral
AUUGAACGCUGGCGGCAUGCCUUACACAUGCAAGUCGAACGGCAGCACGGGAGCAAUCCUGGUGGCGAGUGGCGAACGGGUGAGUAAUAUAUCGGAACGUGCCCAGUAGUGGGGGAUAGCCCGGCGAAAGCCGGAUUAAUACCGCAUACGACCUGAGGGUGAAAGCGGGGGAUCGCAAGACCUCGCGCUAUUGGAGCGGCCGAUAUCAGAUUAGCUAGUUGGUGGGGUAAAGGCCUACCAAGGCGACGAUCUGUAGCUGGUCUGAGAGGACGACCAGCCACACUGGGACUGAGACACGGCCCAGACUCCUACGGGAGGCAGCAGUGGGGAAUUUUGGACAAUGGGCGCAAGCCUGAUCCAGCCAUGCCGCGUGCGGGAAGAAGGCCUUCGGGUUGUAAACCGCUUUUGUCAGGGAAGAAACGGCUCUUGCUAAUAUCGAGAGCUAAUGACGGUACCUGAAGAAUAAGCACCGGCUAACUACGUGCCAGCCGCCGCAGUAA